AACGAACGCUGGCGGCGUGCCUAACACAUGCAAGUCGAACGAGAAAGGGGCUUCGGCUCCGAGUAAAGUGGCGCACGGGUGAGUAACACGUGGGUAACCUGCCUCUAAGAUUGGGAUAACUCGUCGAAAGAUGAGCUAAUACCGAAUAAGACCACAGUUCCCGCGGGAACAGGGGUCAAAGGUAGCCUCUGCUUGCAAGCUAUCACUUAGAGAUGGGCCUGCGCACCAUUAGCUAGUUGGUAGGGUAACGGCCUACCAAGGCAAAGAUGGUUAGCUGGUCUGAGAGGAUGAUCAGCCACACUGGAACUGAGACACGGUCCAGACUCCUACGGGAGGCAGCAGGGGGGAAUAUUGCGCAAUGGGCGAAAGCUUGACGCAGCAACGCCGCGUGAGUGAUGAAGGCCUUCGGGUCGUAAAGCUCUGUCGGGAGGAACGAAUGCUCCUGAGGUUAACAGCCUCGGGAGGUGACGGUACCUUCAAAGGAAGCACCGGCUAACUCUGUG
Molecule: ribosomal RNA, 503 nt
Filed under: uncultured bacterium
Lineage: Bacteria
Description: partial 16S ribosomal RNA
Rfam family: Bacterial small subunit ribosomal RNA
Source: RNAcentral